Molecule: ribosomal RNA, 433 nt
Filed under: uncultured Terriglobales bacterium
Lineage: Bacteria; Pseudomonadati; Acidobacteriota; Terriglobia; Terriglobales
Description: bacterial SSU rRNA
Rfam family: Bacterial small subunit ribosomal RNA
Source: RNAcentral
AAUCAACGCUGGCGGCGUGCCUAACACAUGCAAGUCGAACGCGAAAGUCCCGCAAGGGAUGAGUAGAGUGGCAAACGGGUGAGUAACACGUGGGUGACCUGCCUUCGAGCGGGGGAUAACGUCCCGAAAGGGACGCUAAUACCGCAUGACAUCCUGCCUUUGAAGAGGUGGAGAUCAAAGCUGGGGAUCGCAAGACCUAGCACUCGAAGAGGGGCCCGCGCCUGAUUAGCUAGUUGGUGGGGUAACGGCUCACCAAGGCAACGAUCAGUAGCCGGCCUGAGAGGGCGGACGGCCACACUGGGACUGAGACACGGCCCAGACUCCUACGGGAGGCAGCAGUGGGGAAUUGUUCGCAAUGGGCGCAAGCCUGACGACGCAACGCCGCGUGGAGGACGAAGACGUCGGGUCGUAAACUCCUUUCGAUCGAGACGAA